AACCUAUUCAGAGCGGCCGAGAGACCCGGCUCUACGACGCCGCAGCAACCCCCAGAGCCCUGGAAGGGUGCUACAGCCAGGUUCGAUAGGGA
This 92-nucleotide non-coding RNA is filed under the name Corynebacterium sp. RNAcentral's name for it is "SAM-I sequence". It matches the Rfam family "SAM riboswitch aptamer (S box leader)". From Rfam's summary of the family: The SAM riboswitch is found upstream of a number of genes which code for proteins involved in methionine or cysteine biosynthesis in Gram-positive bacteria. RNAcentral also lists the same sequence under 1 other name. Lineage: Bacteria; Bacillati; Actinomycetota; Actinomycetes; Mycobacteriales; Corynebacteriaceae. The record is from RNAcentral.